Molecule: ribosomal RNA, 440 nt
Filed under: uncultured bacterium
Lineage: Bacteria
Description: bacterial SSU rRNA
Rfam family: Bacterial small subunit ribosomal RNA
Source: RNAcentral
UACGGGAGGCAGCAGUGGGGAAUAUUGCACAAUGGGCGCAAGCCUGAUGCAGCCAUGCCGCGUGUAUGAAGAAGGCCUUCGGGUUGUAAAGUACUUUCAGUCGUGAGGAAGGUGUUAAGGUUAAUAACCUUAGCAAUUGACGUUAGCGACAGAAGAAGCACCGGCUAACUCCGUGCCAGCAGCCGCGGUAAUACGGAGGGUGCGAGCGUUAAUCGGAAUUACUGGGCGUAAAGGGCACGCAGGCGGUUAAUUAAGUUGGAUGUGAAAUCCCCGGGCUUAACCUGGGAAUGGCAUUCAAGACUGGUUAGCUAGAGUCUUGUAGAGGGGGUAGAAUUCCAUGUGUAGCGGUGAAAUGCGUAGAGAUGUGGAGGAAUACCGGUGGCGAAGGCGGCCCCUGGCAAAGGACUGACGCUCAUGUGCGAAAGCGUGGGGAGCAAACG